This 732-nucleotide ribosomal RNA is filed under the name Triticum aestivum (bread wheat). Its description in RNAcentral is "partial small subunit ribosomal RNA". The record is from RNAcentral. Lineage: Eukaryota; Viridiplantae; Streptophyta; Magnoliopsida; Poales; Poaceae.
AUGGACUCGUUAAGUGCCAGACUCCUAAAAAGUGUCUAUUACCCCAACAGCAACAUAUUGGAGGCAAACCUAGGAAGACACCCGAGUCAAGGAAUAAUUAAGCGCGUUGGUAAUGGUCAGACUACACGUAUAUGGGAAGAUAAUUGGAUUCCCCGAGAUGAAAUGCUGAGACCGUAUGGGUGCCGUGUCGCAGACCCUCCGGAGAUGGUGGCUGACCUCAUAGAUGCUACUACGGCAACGUGGAAUCGGCAGCUCGUUCAACAGGUUUUUAUGCCCAUGGACGCUGAGAUCAUAUUAUCUAUUCCCCUUUGUACACGUAACAUGGCAGAUUUCUGGAGUUGGCACUUCGAGCGUCAUGGAAAUUUUUCAGUUAAAACAGCAUACAACAUGUUGGUUGCAACCAAGCUAAGGCGUGAAGCAUGGCUGAAUGAGGAGGCAGGUCCUUCGAGCUCUACUGCUGAGCAGAAAUUGUGGAAGUUUCUGUGGAAAACAGCUGUACCGGGGAAGGUGAGAAUGUUCCUAUGGCGCUUGUCUAAGCACCCACUGCCGACAAAAGAUGUGAGGGCCCAUAGACACAUGUCAACCACAUCGUCGUGUGGCCUCUGCGGAAUGACGGAUUCAUGGAGACACUCACUUUUGGACUGCACCAUGUUGAGGUGCACAUGGGCUAUUGCUGAUGAGGAGCUUCUACAUAAAAUGUCAACCAACACUGAGCCUAGUGCAAAGACGUAG